This 506-nucleotide ribosomal RNA is filed under the name uncultured bacterium. RNAcentral's name for it is "partial 16S ribosomal RNA". It matches the Rfam family "Bacterial small subunit ribosomal RNA", at positions 29 to 523 of the family's 1533-position model. The record is from RNAcentral.
AGUGAACGCUGGCGGUAGGCCUAACACAUGCAAGUCGAACGGCAGCACAGGAGAGCUUGCUCUCUGGGUGGCGAGUGGCGGACGGGUGAGGAAUACAUCGGAAUCUACUUUUUCGUGGGGGAUAACGUAGGGAAACUUACGCUAAUACCGCAUACGACCUACGGGUGAAAGCAGGGGACCUUCGGGCCUUGCGCGAUUGAAUGAGCCGAUGUCGGAUUAGCUAGUUGGCGGGGGAAAGGCCCACCAAGGCGACGAUCCGUAGCUGGUCUGAGAGGAUGAUCAGCCACACUGGAACUGAGACACGGUCCAGACUCAUACGGGAGGCAGCAGUGGGGAAUAUUGGACAAUGGGCGCAAGCCUGAUCCAGCCAUACCGCGUGGGUGAAGAAGGCCUUCGGGUUGUAAAGCCCUUUUGUUGGGAAAGAAAUCCAGCUGGCUAAUACCCGGUUGGGAUGACGGUACCCAAAGAAUAAGCACCGGCUAACUUCGUGCCAGCCGCCGCAGUAA